AACGAACGCUGGCGGCAUGCCUAACACAUGCAAGUCGAACGAAGGCUUCGGCCUUAGUGGCGCACGGGUGCGUAACGCGUGGGAAUCUGCCCUUAGGUUCGGAAUAACAGUUAGAAAUGACUGCUAAUACCGGAUGAUGACGUAAGUCCAAAGAUUUAUCGCCUGAGGAUGAGCCCGCGUAGGAUUAGCUAGUUGGUGUGGUAAAGGCGCACCAAGGCGACGAUCCUUAGCUGGUCUGAGAGGAUGAUCAGCCACACUGGGACUGAGACACGGCCCAGACUCCUACGGUAGGCAGCAGUGGGGAAUAUUGGACAAUGGGCGCAAGCCUGAUCCAGCAAUGCCGCGUGAGUGAUGAAGGCCUUAGGGUUGUAAAGCUCUUUUACCCGUGAUGAUAAUGACAGUAGCGGGAGAAUAAGCCCCGGCUAACUCCGU
This 432-nucleotide ribosomal RNA is filed under the name uncultured bacterium. RNAcentral's name for it is "partial 16S ribosomal RNA". It matches the Rfam family "Bacterial small subunit ribosomal RNA", at positions 29 to 506 of the family's 1533-position model. The record is from RNAcentral.